Molecule: ribosomal RNA, 879 nt
Filed under: uncultured bacterium
Lineage: Bacteria
Description: bacterial SSU rRNA
Rfam family: Bacterial small subunit ribosomal RNA
Source: RNAcentral
AGUUUGAUCCUGGCUCAGAUUGAACGCUGGCGGCAUGCCUUACACAUGCAAGUCGAACGGUAACGCGGGGCAACCUGGCGACGAGUGGCGAACGGGUGAGUAAUGCAUCGGAACGUGCCCAGUAGUGGGGGAUAGCUCGGCGAAAGCCGGAUUAAUACCGCAUACGACCUAAGGGUGAAAGCGGGGGACCGUAAGGCCUCGCGCUAUUGGAGCGGCCGAUGUCAGAUUAGGUUGUUGGUGGGGUAAAAGCCUACCAAGCCGACGAUCUGUAGCUGGUCUGAGAGGACGACCAGCCACACUGGGACUGAGACACGGCCCAGACUCCUACGGGAGGCAGCAGUGGGGAAUUUUGGACAAUGGGGGCAACCCUGAUCCAGCCAUGCCGCGUGCGGGAAGAAGGCCUUCGGGUUGUAAAGCUCUUUCGGACGGAACGAAACGGUUACGGUGAAUAUCCGUGACUAAUGACGGUACCGUAAGAAGAAGCACCGGCUAACUACGUGCCAGCAGCCGCGGUAAUACGUAGGGUGCGAGCGUUAAUCGGAAUUACUGGGCGUAAAGCGUGCGCAGGCGGUUCGCCAAGUCAGGUGUGAAAUCCCCGGGCUUAACCUGGGAAUUGGGCUUGAAACUAGCGGGCUUGAGUGUGGCAGAGGGGGGUGGAAUUCCACGUGUAGCAGUGAAAUGCGUAGAGAUGUGGAGGAACGCCCGAUGGCGAGGGCAGCCCCCUGGGUCAACACUGACGCUCAUGCACGAAAGCGUGGGCGAGCAAACAGGAUUAGAUACCCUGGUAGUCCACGCCCUAAACGAUGUCGACUAGGUGUUGGGGAAGGAGACUUCCUUAUUACCGCACCUAACGCGUGAAGUCGACCGCCUGGGGAGUAC